CCUUUUCCUCUCCCACAUUUUCGCUUCUCUCCCCCUGCUUUGGUUCCCUUGCCCACAGGGCUGCUCAUUGCCCGCCCCCGCCUCUGCCUCUCGACACCUCCCUGCCUGACCUUGCCCCUCUUCUACCCGGCGGGGAGCGGAUCCGGACGACGAGCGCCGGCUGAGCGCCGCGCAGGCUCAGCUCUCGGGCAUGCUCACUGCCACCCGGGGAGCGAAAUCGGGGAAAGUUGCGAGGGGAAGCCGGCAGGGUUUAAAUGCGACGGAGCGAGGCCGGGACUGGGCGCGUUGAGGUGCUACCGCCGCCGAUCUCCCCCGGCCGAAGUACCUCCAGGGAGCUUGUAUGCAGGCAGGUGCCCGGUUCACAGCCCCAGCUCAGGCAGGCAGCUUGCGUCUCUACAGGCACCCAGCCUGCGGCAACCCAAAUACACCCAGAAAGGGGGAUCUUCAGCGUGCGGCCGUCCAGCCACCCAGCUACACCCUGGGAAGUUGCACCUUCCAGGCACCCAGCCCUCCGCUGCCUGCGCACCCGGAGAGAUACCGAGAGCCGCUGCGUGCGCCCAGCCAGACUUAGCCGACAAACCCCGAUACUCCCUGGGAGCUUGUCUCCACCAAGACGCCCAGCCUAGAGGACUAACGCGACCCCAAAAGGAAGCGCUCAAGCGAGUGAGCGAGCCCCGGGCUGUGCCUAAACCCAACUCCACCCGAGACGGAGUGGAAGAUCUACAGCGUGCAGCCAAUCCAGACACCCAGUCUGCAGCUCCAACCUCUCUGAGCGCCGAUCGGGCAGAAGCUCACAAAUCAGCUCCUCUCUGCCGCCAGCUAGCCAGCAACUACCCAGCCCUCCUCCCUCUUCUCCUCCAGAAAGCCUCCCAAACCCGACAGCCUGGGAGCUGCUCCUCGCCAAAGACCCGCUGUGAUCAUUCGGCGCCCGCUUGUCCCCCCUCGGCGGCAGCAGCACCCCAAGCUUGGGAAUUGCAUUGUUGGGGGCUGUAUGUGUGCGCGCGCAGGAGAGAGAUUGCUACGGAGGCAUCAACCUGUAGGCUGAGAUUUCUUUUGCGGCAGCUACCUGUUUGGAAAGCGCUUUGCGGGUGCAGCAGGAAAAGCGCACAGAGACUUAUGCAACCCCUCCUCAAUCCGGAGGCGGCCAAGUGA
Molecule: long non-coding RNA, 1152 nt
Filed under: Gopherus agassizii (Agassiz's desert tortoise)
Lineage: Eukaryota; Metazoa; Chordata; Testudines; Testudinidae
Description: lncRNA (ENSGAGG00000020619.1)
Source: RNAcentral